UACAGAGGUCCCAAGCGUUGUUCGGAUUCAUUGGGCGUAAAGGGUGCGUAGGCGGCGCCGUAAGUCGGAUGUGAAAUCUCGGGGCUCAACCCCGAAACUGCAUUCGAUACUGCGGUGCUAGAGGACUCUAGAGGAAACUGGAAUUCACGGUGUAGCAGUGAAAUGCGUAGAUAUCGUGAGGAAGACCAGUGGCGAAGGCGGGUUUCUGGAGAGUUCCUGACGCUGAGGCACGAAGGCCAGGGGAGCAAACGGG
Molecule: ribosomal RNA, 253 nt
Filed under: uncultured bacterium
Lineage: Bacteria
Description: partial 16S ribosomal RNA
Rfam family: Bacterial small subunit ribosomal RNA
Source: RNAcentral